RNAcentral lists this ribosomal RNA (608 nucleotides) under uncultured bacterium. RNAcentral describes it as "bacterial SSU rRNA". The stretch from base 1 to 520 matches the Rfam family "Bacterial small subunit ribosomal RNA", at positions 338 to 873 of the family's 1533-position model. The record is from RNAcentral.
CCUACGGGAGGCAGCAGUGGGGAAUCUUGCGCAAUGGGCGAAAGCCUGACGCAGCCAUGCCGCGUGAAUGAUGAAGGUCUUAGGAUUGUAAAAUUCUUUCACCGGGGACGAUAAUGACGGUACCCGGAGAAGAAGCCCCGGCUAACUUCGUGCCAGCAGCCGCGGUAAUACGAAGGGGGGCUAGCGUUGCUCGGAAUUACUGGGCGUAAAGGGAGCGUAGGCGGAUAGUUUAGUCAGAGGUGAAAGCCCAGGGCUCAACCUUGGAAUUGCCUUUGAUACUGGCUAUCUUGAGUAUGGGAGAGGUUAGCGGAACUCCGAGUGUAGAGGUGAAAUUCGUAGAUAUUCGGAAGAACACCAGUGGCGAAGGCGGCUAACUGGCCCAUUACUGACGCUGAGGCUCGAAAGCGUGGGGAGCAAACAGGAUUAGAUACCCUGGUAGUCCACGCCGUAAACGAUGAGUGCUAGUUGUCGGCAUGCAUGCAUGUCGGUGACGCGAGCUACGACAUAAGUACACUCCGCCGUCGGGAGGUACGGUCGCGAAGAAUAAACUACAAUAGAAGUUAGUACGGCGUGAGACGUGCCGACGGACGACGACGAGGGAGGUUAGG